GGAGAAGAAGAAGCAACAGCUUCUUCAUAAUACCCCUCAAAUACUAUUCACUCCAGGCAGCUUGAAAUCUGAUAACUUUCGCCGGAGCUCCCUGAAUGUCCGUUUGAGCUCAAACUUGACAGUCAUCUUCGGUUUUACGUACUGAGCAAGAAUAUAUUUUAAGUUUUCAGUUUCGACCCCAUUUGGUCACCGAAAACUGUGCCGAACUGUAAUCUUUAUCAGAUAACUCUCGGAUUUUAUUUCUCACUCUACGGAUGUCAGAAAAAUAUGAAACUUUAAAUCUAGCCUCAUAAAAAUAUUUCUGACUUAUUCUCCAAUUUUCAUAAUUUUCUGUGACUGUAUAUUUUCUGCUAAUUUAUUUGUCCCGUUUCCAACAGAAAAUUCUAGAUCUUCUGUUUUCAUUCCGAUUUCAGUACAAGUCACUUCUGACUUAUGUUUUACUUUUAUAAAUCCAAUAAAAAUAGUUUCUCACACUAUUUUUAUUUACUUUUAUUUUUAUACCAAAAUCUGGUAUGUUACAUUCUCCACCCCUUAAAAGAAUUUCGUCCGCGAAAUUCAAACUACGCUUCGAUUCAGCUCCGCGAGCAAUUGAGGGUACCAACUCAUUCUCCCACUCCAAAGCGGCUUUACACAAUCAUGGUUCCAGAAGCGGCUCAUACUGAAGGAUGUGGGUUUAACCCUAAACGCAUUUGCAAGGUGUGAUACAACAGUGCAUCACGGGUCUUGCAAGUCAUAGUGGCAGCGUAAGUCGGUACUCGACGACUCUACGCGCUCCAACACCACUCGUCAUUCGGCACACAAAGAACUCUUCUUUGCACUUACCUUCCCUUCAGGGAAUACAUUCUGAUUCGAUCACCGACAUUGCUUAGGAGCAAUAUCACCGCUGCAUCGUUCCGUCGCGAGUGCUCUAAUUUCGCACUGACCCUUAACUUUAACGCGAGAUGGCCCACUUCGGCACAUCUUAAGUUUUAGUUCGUUUACGAGCAUAGUCUCCAACAUCACGUGGCCUUCUACUAGCUCAAGGUCUCACCAAGAGCACUUCAUCUUCUGAUACCAUAUGCUACGGUCAACAUCGAACUAUUUCCGCAACGAGCUAGCACGAGCGCUUCGUUCGUGAAUUCGAGUCAAACCCCUCGAUAAGGCUAUCCGCCAAAUUGCUCUCUUCGGUCUCCACAGGUGGACCAAAGGCCACCAAUCCUAUGUAGGCCUACCGCCUAAACCUGUCUCAACACGCAGCGUCUCUCGUUAGCAAAUGCAGACCCAAUCAUCAUCGGGCGAAAUUCUCACUUGGGAAUUCGCACACACUCCAACCAGGAGCAACUAAGAUCCCAAACCACGGCAAGCCCUCGGGUUGGGUCACAACCAUACUCGGUGUACCAUCGGUCACACAAUCUAUCACGUGGCAUUCCACGCUCCCGGGUCUAAGCUCGGACUACCGUCCUGACCAGAACUCUGCACUACCCGUAGGUACCGGGUCACUGUCACUCACAGCUGACUGCGUCUGCGCAAUGGGCCCAGGCUCCACAGUCCACAAAUGGUCUAGGCACGGGUCGUCCCCAAGCACUACCCGCCGUCGUCGUCCUACACAACAUGCUCUACCGAGUCACACGUAUCACUACCGGCUACUAUACACCUAAUGCGAGUCACCAAUCCCACGAGUGAUCCUGUAACAUACCGAACUUCUAAAAUCAUGAAGUCACGGUGUACAUUUAAAUAGUUCCGGUGAGGUUGCGGUGGAAUGUAACAUACGGGAUUUUAAAUACAAAAGUAAAAAUAAAUAAAAAUAGUAUGAGAUACUAUUUUAUUGGAUUUAGAGAAGUGAAAUAUAGGUUGGGAAUGACCUAUGCUGAAAUCAGAGAGAAAACAGAAAAUUUAGAAUUUUCUGUGAGAAACGGGGCAGAUAAAUUAGCAGAGAAUGCACAGUGUCAGAAAAUUAUGAAAAUUGGCGGAGAUGUCAGAAAUAUUUUUAUGAGGCUAGAUUUAAAGUUUCAUAUCAUUUUGACACCCGUAGAGAGAGAAAUAAAAUCCGAAAGCUAUCUGAUAAAGAUUGUAGUUCGGUUCAGUUUUUAGUGACUAAACGGGGUCGAAACUGAAAACUUAAGAUAUAUUCUUGCUCAGUACGUUAAACUGAGCCUGCCUGUCAAAUUUGAGCGAAAAUGGACAUCCGGAAGGGCUCCAACGAAAUUUAUCAGAUUUCAAGUUGCCCGUAGUGAAUAGUGUAUAGUUGAGGGGCAAAAUGGUAAAAAGGGUUUUAAACCCCUUUUCUUCUUCUUCCUCCCAGCCGUGCUCACCCACGACACACACACCCACACACGUAUGGAAGGGAGAGAGAGAAACUCUCCUUUCUCUCUCUAAAUCUCUCCCAAAAUGGAUGGAUUUGGUGGAGAUUGAAGCUUGGAGGUGAAUCGCCUUCAUCUUCUUCAUCUUCUCCACCUUGAGGGCAAGCUUGAGAGGUAAGCUUUUGCUACCCUUUAAUGGUAGAUCCUUAAUGGUUGGUUUAAAUACCUUAGAAAUGGAUUUAGAGGAAUCCUAGCAUGCUAUCUAGAUGAAUGAUGCUUGAUUCAUGAAGGAAUUUGGUGGAUUUUUAUCUAGUUGUAAAUCUAGGGUUCAAAAUACUAUUUUGGUAAAUAUGAGGGUUUGAUCUCAUUUGACCCUUCGUAAACCUAAUUGAUAGGUAAACGAACGCGUUGGCGAAGACGGUUCGGCGAUUCGUCAAGCCGGUACGAAGUUAUUAAAGGAAUGGACGUUUAGGCUUUGUUUUCGCCUGGAGGGCCGAGGCGACAUCGUAAAAUCCUGGAAACGGAUUUGAAGCACCGUAAUAGCAAAACGAAGACCCUUUUUGCCCGAGGCUGCGAAGCGAUGCGCGGUUGGUGCGUAAUUGCAAGUUCCGACGGAACCGGGCACCGGAUGCUGGGGGAGGCCGAUUGUAAGUGUCGACAAGCAAUCGGAAUGCACUAACAGGUGGGUUGUGCUUACCGAAGCGACUAGGUCGCCUUUAUGUCUAAGCGAAUUAAGAAUCCUUGUUGAUGCAUAUAAAUGUAAAUGAUGCAUGUAGCUAAUGCUAAGUGAUGUAAUGUAGAAAUGCUAACUAGAAUGUAUAAUGAGCGAGUUAAAUAAUGCAUGUAAAUGUAAAUGUAAAUGCUAACUAGAAAUGCAUAAUGAGCAAGUUACAUAAUGCUAGAUAAUGUAUGUAAUAGUAUGAUGCAAAUGCUAAGUAGAUGCAUAUAAAUGAUAUGUGAGAUUAUAAACGCAUGAUUAGCAUUGUGAGAUUAUAAAUACAUGCUUAGCAUUGCGAGAUUAUAUAUGCAUAUGAACUUGGUUGAUAACUCUAGCUUGAUUAGAGAGAUAAUGUUGGAAAAUAGAAUUUGUAUAACUAUAAUACUCGCUAUGGACAAUUAGCAUGUGAACUAGACCGAGUGGUAUCUAACCUAGUGCUAAUAAACAUAGGUCGGACAUAGUGAUGUUGAACCUAGUGUUAGUGAACAUAGGUUGAACUAGUAAACCUAGAGUUUAUAACCUAGGUUGUGAUAUAGUAAACCUAGAGUGGCUUGAACCUAGGUUGUUGUGUAUAAUGGUAGCAACCACUAGAUUGUAUUAGGUCGACAGCAUAGGGUUGGUUAUGGACCCUCGACCUGUGUAAGUGGAUUCCGGAAUCCCAGGAUCUUUGAUGACCUUGGUAUCAAGGCUAGGGCGUGUGCGACGACUUCGCCGCCGAGGUCGAUACCAAGGAUGGAUUGGGGGUGAAUGCGCAGAGAUUACCGCCCGGGGCUUGAACCAUUGUCGUGGCGUGUGCAACGAUUUCGCCGCUCGAUGGUUAAGCCAGUUUGUGGAUUAUGCCGCCAGAUCGACUCGAGCCAUUGUUGGGUGAGGUGCGAUUCGUUCGCCGCCAGAUGGCCAAGUCAAGGGACUUGAACCAGUGUUCGGCGUGUGCGACGACUUCGGCGCCAGCUGGUUAAGUCACAUAGUGCAGCCAGUGCGCGGACUAUCAGCGGAUGAUUGACUCGAGGCCGAGUCGGGUGGUUAGCUUGAUUAGGUUAAUAGAAACCUUAUAAGCUAGUGAUAAAGGUAAGAGCUAAGGUAAUAGAGACCUUAGAGGCAAUGUGAACUUGAGUUGUGAACUAAGGUAGUAGAACCUUAGAUGCUAAAUGACAUGAGCUAAAGUUAGUAGAGUUGAGUGUAGAAUCAAUAGAUCUACUGAAUGGUUGCAUAAUUGCAUAGAACUGCCUGAUAUACAUAUUGCAUAUUGCGAGGCAUGUUAUCUGUUAGUUGCAUAAUAAACUGAUGAUUUAUAUAUCUAUAGAUGUUUUUGGACUAACAUGAUUGCAGUACCUCCUUGGACCUUUUGGUCGAGCUUUUUCCUUGGGUGGCCGUACCCACUGGGAACCAUGGAGUUGGUUCUCACCCCACGUUGUUUUGGGGUGUUACAGGUUCGUACGUGAGCGGCGCGGCGGCGCGAGGAAAGGGCAUAGCUCCGUAGAUAGCGCCCUACCCCAGAGACCAGAGCUAGCAGUACCCCGUCGACAUAGCUUAGGGGUUAAGGAAAUAAAAAGAACACAAUGGAACAUAAUGUAUCAAAUUUGUAAUAAGUAAAGGUUGUAAUAACUUAGUUUGCAUUUGGAUAAAAAGAAUAGUAAAUGUGAUGUAAAAUGUAUGCAAUGUGAAUGUUGUAAUAAUAUAGGAUGUGUUUAUGUUGUUUGAUACCUUCCAUUAUGCAAUCUUGAUUGAUAUCAGUUCUUGAUUGGAACCUUCGUAUUGUAUUGAUUGCGUUGCCUUGAACGUACAGGGGAGACUCUGUCUGCAGUACAGGGGAAACCCUGUCUCAGUUCUCCACCCCUUAAAGAAUUUCGUCCGCGAACAUUCAAACCUACGCUUCGAUUCAGCUCCGCGA
RNAcentral lists this long non-coding RNA (4888 nucleotides) under Ananas comosus (pineapple). Its description in RNAcentral is "long non-coding RNA (ACOM_LNC039828)". The record is from RNAcentral. Lineage: Eukaryota; Viridiplantae; Streptophyta; Magnoliopsida; Poales; Bromeliaceae.